RNAcentral lists this ribosomal RNA (540 nucleotides) under uncultured bacterium. RNAcentral's name for it is "bacterial SSU rRNA". It matches the Rfam family "Bacterial small subunit ribosomal RNA", at positions 1 to 537 of the family's 1533-position model. The record is from RNAcentral.
GGAUCAGCGGCCGCUGCAGAGUUUGAUCCUGGCUCAGAACGAACGCUGGCGGCGUGCCUAACACAUGCAAGUCGGACGGACUUAUAUCUGAAGGGUAACUGGAGGGUGUAAGUUAGUGGCGCACGGGUGAGUAACACGUAGAUAACCUACCCUCAAGAGGGGGACAACACAGGGAAACUUGUGCUAAUACCGCAUAAGGCCACGGGUUGGGAUACUUGUGGUAAAAGGGUGGCGACACCGCUUAGGGAUGGGUCUGCGGCCUAUCAGGUAGUUGGUGGGGUAAUGGCCUACCAAGCCUAAGACGGGUAACCGGACUGAGAGGUUGGACGGUCACACUGGAACUGAGAUACGGUCCAGACUCCUACGGGAGGCAGCAGUGGGGAAUUUUGCACAAUGGGCGGAAGCUGAUGCAGCGACGGCGCGUGGAGGAAGAAGGCCUUCGGGUUGUAACCUCGUUUUAUAGGGGGCAAUGGUGAUGGUACCCUAUGAGUAGCGACGGGUACCUGUGUCCACGACCCCGGGCAAUCAAAACGGUCGCGC